UUUCACUUUUCCGUGGAAAGACCUAUUGGUUUUCUUCUGAUUAUUAUUAUUAGGUCUUUCAACCUUUCAGGUGAAAGACCUAUUGUUUUUGUUCUGAUUAUUAUUAGGUCUUUCAACCUUUCUGUUGAAAGACCUAUUGUAUUCGUUCUGAUUAUUAUUAUUAUUAUUAUUAUUAUUAGGUCUUUCCACUUUUCCGUGGAAAGACCUAUUGGAUUUCUUCUGAUUAUUAUUAUUAUUUUUUUUUUUUUUUUCUUCCGCCUAAUUUGUUUCCUUCGCUGUUUUUUUGUUUCGCAAGAUGUCGCUUAGAUUUUUGAAUAUUGAUAUCGAACAUUU
RNAcentral lists this long non-coding RNA (333 nucleotides) under Mytilus galloprovincialis (Mediterranean mussel). The record is from RNAcentral. Lineage: Eukaryota; Metazoa; Mollusca; Bivalvia; Mytilida; Mytilidae.